Myodes glareolus (Bank vole) is the source of this 2372-nucleotide long non-coding RNA. RefSeq lists it as uncharacterized. The record is from RefSeq and is a predicted model, not a curated record. Lineage: Eukaryota; Metazoa; Chordata; Mammalia; Rodentia; Cricetidae.
ACCCGGAACCCGGGGCCCGGGGCUGGCAGCGCCUCCGAGGAAGUCUUCGGUCUCUCGAGGACUAAAGGCUGGGCGUUGACGGGUAGCGUAGACGGUGGACUACAGAAGCCCCGUCCUAGGUCACUGCCGGGCGGCUAACGUGCCCAGGGCGUCCAGGACGCGGUCCCCAGCACGGUUCCAAGCCAAGCCGGUCCACGGAUUGACGUACUAAGCUCAAGUCUGGUCCGGAGGACUCCGGGCAGGGCAUCUGUAUCUGGAUUUGCCCCGCAACCCGAGCAGUGUCAGUGUUUCCACAUACACCGGGUGCACACAGGGAGAAAGUACAGGACUCAUAUUGCACGAACCCGGAGAACGACCAGGGUUGUGCCGAGUGACGAGCGUGGACACCAAGACCUUGGAGAUAAAGGUUCCUAGCUGUACGCCCUAUCAAUUUGGCCAAAGGGAAAAUGGAGGGAGGAAAAAGAAAAAGAAGCAACUGCGUUGGCCGGGAAUCGAACCCGGGUCAACUGCUUGGAAGGCAGCUAUGCUCACCACUAUACCACCAACGCAGAUGAAAACCAGAGUGGCUACAAGUCUAGUUAUAUUUAUUUUCUCGCCUACUCUUUGUUGCUGUGUUAAACUGUGUGAUUACAUCAAAAGUAUGGGUAAGAAAAACAAGAUUUAAAAAAACUAAAUGAGAUGGACUUUGUUUUGUUUUGGUUUUUGUCAUGAGCACCUCUGGGAUUAAAUCUAAAACUCUGUUGGGGAAUCAGUGACACCAUAAUGACAUCAUCCCUAGGGGAAAAAAUCGUUCCAAAAGUUUAAGUCGCUUCUCUGAGUGAAUUUAGUGUAGCCCAAGACUAAAGAAUCUGCCUUUCUGCCAAACGUACGUAAGCACAUCUCAUCGUUCAACCGCAGUCACUUCCACGUGAGCACGAGCCUCCCUCUGUCAGAGGACCGUGCGAGCAAAGCCCGAGACCGAGCCUGAAGAAAUAGACACACUCCGUGCUCACGCUCCGUGCUCACUGCGGGGAGGAAUCAGUUCACCACACCCGUCAAACCAGGCCUUCACGGAGGCCUCGUGGCGCAACGGUAGCGCGUCUGACUCCAGAUCAGAAGGUUGCGUGUUCAAAUCACGUCGGGGUCAUUAUCUGUCCUAAUUUUCUAGUUAUGUCUGUCACUAGUAGUCGGAUCUAAUCGUUACACUCUUUUCAGGUUUCCGUUGAAAUAUUCAUGUUUUAAACAUUUAGAUAUCCUAACAGUAAUUGUUAAUUAGCAGUCCCCCUUCAACUCUUGCUCAGGAAAUUUAUUUACGGUAAUAAAUAUUCUUUUUUCGGAUAAACUGUAGGAAUAAUCACUUUAAAAACUAUAAUAGCGGGGGGGGGGGGGCGUCCGCCCUUAAUCCAGCACUCGGGAGGCAGAGCCAGGCGAAUCUCCGUGAAUUCGAUGCUGUCUGAUCUACAAGAGCUAGUUCCAGACUGUAAUUAUCCCAAAGCACUUUUUUUUUCGCUUUGAACUGCUUAAUUUAUGUCUACUGCUGGGGUCCACACAAUUUUGCCCCGUUAUUUUUGCUCAACAUCUGUAUGAAAAAUAUAAUUUUAUAUUCUUUAUAGUUAGAGCGGCAACCUAAAGUUUUAUGACAAUUAUGUAAAGUAUUAAGCAAUUUUUCUGAAGUUGGACAUUUGGCCAUCUUAUUAUCUGCACUUUUUCUUACUAUUUAAAAUGUUGCCACCAGCGUCGCCCUUCUUGCUUGUUUACUGGUUUGUUGAUUUGGGGUUUGGGACAGUUGUUGGGGUUUGCUUUUCCGUGCGGGCUCCUGUUGCCCAGGCCGGCCUGGGAGCCCUAAGAGCUGGUCUAGAACGCUUGUUCUGCCCUCUGCGACACCCAAGCUCUGCUUCACCGGCCUAGCCCUUUCCUUGCCUUGACUGGACAAGAUCUGGGACGUGAAUUCUAGAAUUUCAGUACUGUUAAAAGCCUUAGCUGUUUUUAAAGGGCUAUAAGGGCUAUGAAACUUUUUCAAGCAUCCCCUCCCCAAGUGUUGUUGCCUUAUCGACAAUUUAAAUCUCGCUACCGUGUUUUUUGGUGUGGCUGCCAGCGCGGAGCGCCCGUCGCCAUUUCUCAGAAAACUGAGGAAAUGAAGACUUUCUGUCCGCAGCACUGCGGAGGGACGCGAAGUCAGUCAAGAUCAAGAAGAGUAAUGAGAACGGGAAGCUCAAGGUUCGCCGCGGCCGGUAUCUGUACACCCUGGUCAGCACAGACAAGAAGGAAGAGAGGUUGAAGCCGUCAGUACCCUGUCCCCUAGGUUUGGCAGUGAAGGAGUUGAAAUGAAUCAGACGUAGCAUUUGACUAUAAAAACCUUGAAAAGUCAGAAAUAAAAUAAAAUUUAAGUCCAA